GGGGAAUAUUGGACAAUGGGCGAAAGCCUGAUCCAGCAAUGCCGCGUGAGUGAUGAAGGCCUUAGGGUUGUAAAGCUCUUUUACCCGGGAUGAUAAUGACAGUACCGGGAGAAUAAGCCCCGGCUAACUUCGUGCCAGCAGCCGCGGUAAGACGAAGGGGGCUAGCGUUGUUCGGAAUUACUGGGCGUAAAGCGAGUGUAGGUGGUUGUCCAAGUUGGAUGUGAAAGCCUUGAGCUCAACUCAAGAAAUGCAUUCAGGACUGGAUGACUAGAGGACCGGAGAGGAUAGUGGAAUUCCCAGUGUAGUGGUGAAAUACGUAGAGAUUGGGAAGAACACCAGUGGCGAAGGCGGCUAUCUGGACGGUUUCUGACACUAAGACUCGAAAGCGUGGGGAGCAAA
This 399-nucleotide ribosomal RNA is filed under the name uncultured bacterium. RNAcentral's name for it is "bacterial SSU rRNA". It matches the Rfam family "Bacterial small subunit ribosomal RNA", at positions 356 to 772 of the family's 1533-position model. The record is from RNAcentral.